This 578-nucleotide ribosomal RNA is filed under the name uncultured Hymenobacter sp. RNAcentral describes it as "bacterial SSU rRNA". It matches the Rfam family "Bacterial small subunit ribosomal RNA", at positions 920 to 1503 of the family's 1533-position model. The record is from RNAcentral. Lineage: Bacteria; Pseudomonadati; Bacteroidota; Cytophagia; Cytophagales; Hymenobacteraceae.
UCGGCGGAAUUGGGUGGAGCUUGUGGUUUUAAACACGGUGACCGAGAGGAACCUUACCUAGGCUAGAAUGCGCGUGACCGGUUCAGAGAUGGACCUUUCCUUCGGGACACAAAGCAAGGUGCUGCAUGGCCGUCGUCAGCUCGUGCCGUGAGGUGUUGGGUUAAGUCCCGCAACGAGCGCAACCCCUACAUUUAGUUGCCAGCGGAUUAUGCCGGGGACUCUAGAUGGACUGCCUGCGCAAGCAGUGAGGAAGGCGGGGACGACGUCAGGUCAUCAUGGCCCUUACGCCUAGGGCUACACACGUGCUACAAUGGACGGUACAGAGGGUCGCUACACAGUGAUGUGAUGCCAAUCUCACAAAGCCGUUCUCAGUUCGGAUCGAAGUCUGCAACUCGACUUCGUGAAGCUGGAAUCACUAGUAAUCGCGUAUCAGCAAUGACGCGGUGAAUACGUUCCCGGGCCUUGUACACACCGCCCGUCAAGCCAUGGAAGUCUGGUAGACCUGAAGCUGGUGCUCCGCAACGAAGCCAGUUAGGGUAGAACAGGUAACUGGGGCUAAGUCGUAACAAGGUAACCGG